AUUGAACGCUGGCGGCAUGCCUUACACAUGCAAGUCGAACGGUAACGCGGGGCAACCUGGCGACGAGUGGCGAACGGGUGAGUAAUAUAUCGGAACGUGCCCAGUAGUGGGGGAUAGCCCGGCGAAAGCCGGAUUAAUACCGCAUACGACCUGAGGGUGAAAGCGGGGGAUCGCAAGACCUCGCGCUCUUUGAGCGGCCGAUAUCAGAUUAGCUAGUUGGUGGGGUAAAAGCCUACCAAGGCGACGAUCUGUAGCUGGGCUGAGAGGACGACCAGCCACACUGGGACUGAGACACGGCCCAGACUCCUACGGGAGGCAGCAGUGGGGAAUUUUGGACAAUGGGCGCAAACCUGAUCCAGCCAUGCCGCGUGCGGGAAGAAGGCCUUCGGGUUGUAAACCGCUUUUGUCAGGGAAGAAACGCGCUGAGCUAAUACCUCGGCGUAAUGACGGUACCUGAAGAAUAAGCACCGGCUAACUACGUGCCAGCCGCCGCGGUAA
RNAcentral lists this ribosomal RNA (498 nucleotides) under uncultured bacterium. RNAcentral describes it as "partial 16S ribosomal RNA". It matches the Rfam family "Bacterial small subunit ribosomal RNA", at positions 29 to 523 of the family's 1533-position model. The record is from RNAcentral.